AGAGUUUGAUCCUGGCUCAGAAUCAACGCUGGCGGCGUGCCUAACACAUGCAAGUCGAACGAGAAAGUGGAGCAAUCCAUGAGUAAAGUGGCGACCGGGUGAGUAACACGUGACUAACCUACCCUAAAGUGGGGGAUAACUCCGGGAAACCGGGGCUAAUACCGCAUAACAUCGCGAGGGGAAGAUCCUUGUGAUCAAAGGAGCAAUCCGCUGAAGGAGGGGGUCGCGGCUGAUUAGUUAGUUGGUGAGGUAACGGCCCACCAAGACAAAGAUCAGUAUCCGGCCUGAGAGGGCGCACGGACACACUGGAACUGAAACACGGUCCAGACUCCUACGGGAGGCAGCAGUGGGGAAUUUUGCGCAAUGGGGGAAACCCUGACGCAGCAACGCCGCGUGGAGGAUGAAGUCCCUUGGGAUGUAAACUCCUUUCGAUCGGGACGAUUAUGACGGUACCGGAAGAAGAAGCACCGGCUAACUCUGUGCCAGCCGCCGCGGUAAUUC
Molecule: ribosomal RNA, 501 nt
Filed under: uncultured bacterium
Lineage: Bacteria
Description: bacterial SSU rRNA
Rfam family: Bacterial small subunit ribosomal RNA
Source: RNAcentral